This 577-nucleotide ribosomal RNA is filed under the name uncultured bacterium. RNAcentral describes it as "bacterial SSU rRNA". It matches the Rfam family "Bacterial small subunit ribosomal RNA", at positions 338 to 913 of the family's 1533-position model. The record is from RNAcentral.
CCUACGGGAGGCAGCAGUAAGGAAUAUUGGUCAAUGGAGGCAACUCUGAACCAGCCAUGCCGCGUGCAGGAUGACGGCCCUAUGGGUUGUAAACUGCUUUUAUACAAGAGAAAACCCUGGUACGUGUACCAGGUUGAUAGUAUUGUAAGAAUAAGCAUCGGCUAACUUCGUGCCAGCAGCCGCGGUAAGACGAAGGAUGCAAGCGUUAUCCGGAUUCAUUGGGUUUAAAGGGUGCGUAGGCGGACUGAUAAGUCAGUGGUGAAAUCUCUUUGCUUAACAAAGAAACUGCCAUUGAUACUGUCGGUCUAGAGUAUAGAUGACGUUGGCGGAAUAUGACAUGUAGUGGUGAAAUACUUAGAUAUGUCAUAGAACACCGAUUGCGAAGGCAGCUAACGAAACUAUAACUGACGCUGAGGCACGAAAGUGCGGGGAUCAAACAGGAUUAGAUACCCUGGUAGUCCGCACCGUAAACGAUGAUUACUCGUUGUUGGCGAUAUGACAGUCAGCGACCAAGCGAAAGCGAUAAGUAAUCCACCUGGGGAGUACGCCGGCAACGGUGAAACGUCAAAUGAAUUGA